This 681-nucleotide ribosomal RNA is filed under the name uncultured Gammaproteobacteria bacterium. RNAcentral describes it as "bacterial SSU rRNA". It matches the Rfam family "Bacterial small subunit ribosomal RNA", at positions 79 to 793 of the family's 1533-position model. Lineage: Bacteria; Pseudomonadati; Pseudomonadota; Gammaproteobacteria. The record is from RNAcentral.
AUCGAGUGUGAGUAGAGUGGCGGACGGGUGAGUAACGCGUGGGAAUCUACCCAGUAGUGGGGGACAACUACCGGAAACGGUANCUAAUACCGCAUACGCCCUAUGGGGGAAAGGCUUCGGCCGCUAUUGGAUGAGCCCGCGUCAGAUUAGCUAGUUGGUAGGGUAAAGGCCUACCAAGGCAACGAUCUGUAGCUGGUCUGAGAGGACGAACAGCCACACUGGGACUGAGACACGGCCCANACUCCUACGGGAGGCAGCAGUGGGGAAUAUUGGACAAUGGGCGAAAGCCUGAUCCAGCAAUGCCGCGUGUGUGAAGAAGGCCUGCGGGUUGUAAAGCACUUUCAGUUGGNAAGAUGAUGACGUUACCAACAGAAGAAGCACCGGCUAAAUCCGUGCCAGCAGCCGCGGUAAUACGGAUGGUGCGAGCGUUAAUCGGAAUUACUGGGCGUAAAGCGCGCGUAGGCGGCUAAGUCAGUCAGAAGUGAAAGCCCCGGGCUCAACCUGGGAAUUGCUUUUGAUACUGCUUAGCUAGAGUUUGGUAGAGGAUAGUGGAAUUCCAGGUGUAGCGGUGAAAUGCGUAGAUAUCUGGAGGAACAUCAGUGGCGAAGGCUACUGUCUGGACCAAAACUGACGCUGAGGUGCGAAAGUGUGGGGAGCAAACAGGAUUAGAUACCCUGGUAG